CAUCACCACGGGAAAGACACUUUCUUCAGGGACCUGGAAACGCUGGUGGCAUAGACUGGACAACUGGGACCUAGACCCUUCCUCACCUGCCAAGCCUCACUCAAGACAGAUCCUGGGAGGCAGGCGCGGGGCUUGAGCCGAGGGGAGGUGGGACGGCGUCCAGGGUUCCAGCAAUAUUAUUUAGCACCUACUGGCAUUCGACCAACAGAAGACAUAAGAAAAGAAUUGCCCUUCAGUUCUUAAUCAAACAACAUCGAUCAAGCAAUUACUGUAUAGAAGGUGCCAGGCAAGAAGCAUUCUUGUUUCCUGUCCUGAAGGACAGGUAAGACAUACAUAUAGGAUGUGAAGUUCAGGAUCAGUAAGAGAAACAUAGCAGUGCAGAACAAGGAUGCAGCGCUGGAUUCAUCGCCAAAUGAAGGACACAGGAAGUGUUCAUAUGGAAGUGUUGCAUGGAGUAGCUAAUGUAGCAAGACUUACUCCUAACCAAAGAUACCAGCAAAAGACAUAAAAGACAUUGCCAACAUGAAUGGCACUCUGAAGAAUCAGGUCAGGAGUUCAGAGGAGAGACUUGGCUAGAAUUGUUGGGGAUGGGUUUUGGAAGACGUGUGUGUGGUGGGCAUUUGCUGGGCUUUGAGUUUCUCCCUUAUUUUGGAGACUACCCUGAUCUCUUUCUGGGAAGAACCCCUCUCCACUUCAUCAAUCCAAGAACUGUCAGUUGGGUUACAGGUGGGAGCGUCACACUUCUCCCUCUGUCACCCAACCAUAACAUUGGUCCAGGGAUGGCCCUGUGACCCAAAGACAGCCAAGGAACACAUGGAACAUCUGCUGGGGCUGUUAGGAGAGAGGAACGUUCUCUUUCUCACUGAGCUUGAACCUGGAGUUCACUUGGCGAUGCAAAUGUCUUGCCAUCAGAAGUGUUGAGUCUGCCUGACAGCAACACCAACAUAGAGGACGCGAGACUGAGAGAUGACAUCAGGUGCUAGUGACUUCUUGCAAGACCCUGAAUCAAGCCAUGCCUGAAGACAGACCUCCCCCUGGACUUUUCAGCUGUAUGAUGAGGAAAUUGAGGCACAAAGAAUUUGCCAAAGUGACCCAGUUAAUAAGGGUCAGAGGUGGAAUUUUAAUCUGAAAGCUCAAGGAGACUAGAUCCUGCAUUCUCGACCUGGCCUCUUCUGCGUGUGGCCUCUUCUGCCUGAUGUGGCCUCUGCCUUGGGGAAGGAAAAGAGGCGGCUGUUGCUGAAAAGGGACACAGGAGAGCACAGGACUCAAGUUGUUUUUCCCGGAGCUGGCCCCGAUUUGAUGAUCUGUUCCUUAUUGCUCCGCUUUUGUUUUUUGUUUUUUGUUUUUUUGCUUUUUAAGUUUGCUGUUGGACAAAUGCUGACACUCUGGCUCCCCUGCCCUCAAUUAGCAACAGUCCUUGGGGCCAGCAGACGACUCCGGGCAACUGCUCCCGCUCAGGCCUGACACCCUCCUGGGCUGGCUGAUGACACGCAGAGGGGAGCGAGGCCGUCUGGACAGGCCUCCCCUGGCCCCAGCUGGCUCCCCGCUCCUCUCUGUCUCUUUCCGGCUCUGUAUCUCCUUCCCUUGGAUUGCCUCAGGAGAAGGAAAGAAGAAAUAUUUUUUAAAAAGAAGUUGAAUGAAACCAAACACUUGUAUUUCCAACUAUUGACAUUGGAUUUGUGCUUCUCCAGCCCAG
This is a long non-coding RNA of Leptonychotes weddellii (Weddell seal), 1696 nucleotides long. RefSeq lists it as uncharacterized. The record is from RefSeq and is a predicted model, not a curated record. Lineage: Eukaryota; Metazoa; Chordata; Mammalia; Carnivora; Phocidae.